This 742-nucleotide ribosomal RNA is filed under the name Verrucomicrobia bacterium IMCC14509. Its description in RNAcentral is "bacterial SSU rRNA". It matches the Rfam family "Bacterial small subunit ribosomal RNA", at positions 28 to 743 of the family's 1533-position model. The record is from RNAcentral. Lineage: Bacteria; Pseudomonadati; Verrucomicrobiota.
AACGAACGGCUGCGGCGUGGAUAAGACAUGCAAGUCGAACGAAGAAUAUUCGGUAGCAAUACUGGGUAUUUUUAGUGGCGAAAGGGUGCGUAACACGUGGGUAAUCUACCGUAAAGUUCGGAAUAACUUCGAGAAAUCAAAGCUAAUACCGAAUGUGAUCUGACAGGGACAUCCCUGUUCCAUUAAAGCUGGGGACCUUCGGGCCUGGCGCUUUACGAUGAGCCCGCGCCCUAUCAGCUUGUUGGUGAGGUAAAAGCUCACCAAGGCUAAGACGGGUAGCCGGUCUGAGAGGACGAUCGGCCACACUGGAACUGAGACACGGUCCAGACACCUACGGGUGGCAGCAGUCGAGAAUCAUUCACAAUGGGGGAAACCCUGAUGGUGCGACGCCGCGUGGGGGAUGAAGGUCUUCGGAUUGUAAACCCCUGUCAUUUGUGAACAAACCUUUUGGUUUAAUAGAUCAAAAGCUGAUAGUAGCAAAAGAGGAAGGGACGGCUAACUCCGUGCCAGCAGCCGCGGUAAUACGGAGGUCCCAAGCGUUGUUCGGAUUUACUGGGCGUAAAGGGUGCGUAGGUGGCCAGGAAAGUUUGAUGUGAAAGCUCCGAGCUCAACUCGGAAAAUGCAUUGAAUACUACUUGGCUUGAGGAUCGGAGGGGAGACUGGAAUUCUCGGUGUAGCAGUGAAAUGCGUAGAUAUCGAGAGGAACACCAGUGGCGAAGGCGAGUCUCUGGACGAUUCCUGA